UACGGAGGGUGCAAGCGUUGUCCGGAUUUAUUGGGUUUAAAGGGUGCGUAGGCGGCCAAUUAAGUCAGUGGUGAAAGUUUCCGGCUCAACCGGGAGACUGCCAUUGAUACUGGUUGGCUUGAGUUAUGGAGGGGUACAUGGAAUUUACGGUGUAGCGGUGAAAUGCAUAGAUACCGUAAGGAACACCGAUAGCGAAGGCA
RNAcentral lists this ribosomal RNA (200 nucleotides) under uncultured bacterium. RNAcentral's name for it is "partial 16S ribosomal RNA". It matches the Rfam family "Bacterial small subunit ribosomal RNA", at positions 524 to 723 of the family's 1533-position model. The record is from RNAcentral.